GCGCGCCCGGAGGAUGGCCGGCUGCGGGCUGUCGGAGGACGCCUUCUUCUCGUCCUUCUUCUGCAGCUACACCUCCUCCUGGGAAGCCUCCUACAACCAGCUCUUCCUGUUCAGUGGGACGUAGCUAUGAUGUUGAUCAGAGGGUGAAGUAGAUAGAACAGGUCACUUCCAGUCUUCACCCAGGGCAGUGUCAAUGAAGACCUUUUCUUGAAUUCAAGUAGA
This 222-nucleotide long non-coding RNA is filed under the name Anser cygnoides (Swan goose). RNAcentral describes it as "lncRNA (ENSACDG00005014395.1)". Lineage: Eukaryota; Metazoa; Chordata; Aves; Anseriformes; Anatidae. The record is from RNAcentral.